Molecule: long non-coding RNA, 866 nt
Filed under: Helianthus annuus (common sunflower)
Lineage: Eukaryota; Viridiplantae; Streptophyta; Magnoliopsida; Asterales; Asteraceae
Source: RNAcentral
AUGGAAUCCAUGAUUGAAUCGGGUGGUCAUUUGCGAGUUCAGUUGCCUAUAACCAGAUAUUUUGUUUCAAUUUGGAUGCCGGUGAUACUGUUGUUUGAGUAGAAAGAAUGUUAGGGUUUCGUUUUCGUUUAUGUGUUUUCCCCCAAUUUCAGAUAUUAUGAAAUUAUUACCAUUUAUUUGCAGAGCUAAUGAAAGUUUGAUAUUAUUAAGUUCAUGUAUAUUAAUUCAUUUUGCACGUUGAGAGCUUUAAAAAGGUGACGAGGCGGCAACAUUUGUCUGGGAGCAUCAGGUCAGGAAACAAACGCCUGUGACACUGUGGUGCAUGCAGGGUCUGGUUCGGAGAGUGAGAGUUAUAAAGAGAGAGAAGGAGAGAGAUGCAGAUGAUCAAGAGAAAAGGGAGGAAUUCGGAAGAGUGACGGUGAUGCCGACGACAUGAAGGCGUAGGAUCCGGUGAGGCGUUUAGAAUUCCAGCCAGCAUUUCGACCAUACCCCGAACCCCGAUCAAGAUCCGACAGAGAACUGACAAGGUUUCGACGAGUCUCCGGUUAAGGUUCUGUUACAGAUUUCGUAAAGCUAUCUCUCUGACUAAGAAUCUGGCGUUUAAAGUUAAGAGAUAUUGAAGAGAAAGUGAUGCUUUAAAGUAAAGAAAGGGUAUAAUAGCUUCUUGCUGAAUUCAUAAGUAGAUAUCAUGGACCGUGGUGUCAGCAGUGGAGGGGAGAGUUCACUUGACUACCUCUUUGGAAGUGAUGAGCCAAAGACCAGUCAAGAAAGAGGUGGUGCCUAAAGUCGUUGUACCCCAGCCAGAUAAUACAAAAAUGAUCCCAGAUAAUGCAAAACAGAUUCCUAGUGGGAUCCAUAUUGCUAAG